This 323-nucleotide long non-coding RNA is filed under the name Phasianus colchicus (ring-necked pheasant). Its description in RNAcentral is "lncRNA (ENSPCLG00000004811.1)". Lineage: Eukaryota; Metazoa; Chordata; Aves; Galliformes; Phasianidae. The record is from RNAcentral.
UAAGGAGUCAUUGCACGAUGUAGAACAAAGAAGAACAAAGAAGUUUAAGAGAGUACAUUGUGGGCAUGAAAUAAAAUUUUAAUGUGAUCACCUUGGUUCUUCUGUGACUUGAGGAAAAGAAACAAAGAACUGCCAAACAACCAGACUGGCUAUGAUACUGUGGCUCUGUAACCCUCUGCUGGACUAAACCUGCAGUUUGCUGUGCUGAACCUCACUGUGUGGUGUGUGUGUGGACAUCUUCAGAAGGCAAAGAACAAAGCAAGCCAUUGCUUCUGUGACAUCACAGGAAAGGAAGAAGCUGUGAAAACAUGAAGAUACUGGAA